RNAcentral lists this ribosomal RNA (468 nucleotides) under uncultured bacterium. Its description in RNAcentral is "partial 16S ribosomal RNA". It matches the Rfam family "Bacterial small subunit ribosomal RNA", at positions 28 to 507 of the family's 1533-position model. The record is from RNAcentral.
GACGAACGCUGGCGGCGUGCUUAACACAUGCAAGUCGAACGGAAAGGCCCUGCUUUUGUGGGGUGCUCGAGUGGCGAACGGGUGAGUAACACGUGAGUAACCUGCCCUUGACUUUGGGAUAACUUCAGGAAACUGGGGCUAAUACCGGAUAGGAGCUACUGCUGCAUGGUGGGGGUUGGAAAGUUUCGGCGGUUGGGGAUGGAAUCGCGGCUUAUCAGCUUGUUGGUGGGGUAGUGGCUUACCAAGGCUUUGACGGGUAGCCGGCCUGAGAGGGUGACCGGCCACAUUGGGACUGAGAUACGGCCCAGACUCCUACGGGAGGCAGCAGUGGGGAAUAUUGCACAAUGGGCGGAAGCCUGAUGCAGCAACGCCGCGGGCGGGAUGACGGCCUUCGGGUUGUAAACCGCUUUCGCCUGUGACGAAGCGUGAGUGACGGUAAUGGGUAAAGAAGCACCGGCUAACUACGUG